Molecule: non-coding RNA, 229 nt
Organism: Allochromatium vinosum DSM 180
Lineage: Bacteria; Pseudomonadati; Pseudomonadota; Gammaproteobacteria; Chromatiales; Chromatiaceae
Rfam family: HNH endonuclease-associated RNA and ORF (HEARO) RNA
Source: Rfam
GUCAACUACCCCGGCCUGAAGGCCGGAGCUUGAAAGAGCUGGGUUGACCAGGGACAGCGGUGAACAUCCGCUGCGUUUGCAACAGGUCGUUGAGACCCACUCCGGAAUGCUUCCUCAGUCCCGGACCCUGGAAGGUCGGAAUCAUGCAGGCGAAAGGCAAAGCGCCGAAGGUUCCGAUCGCCGCCGCGCGGCGGGAGCCGGUUGCAGACAUUCCCGAGGGGAGCGAGCC